Molecule: long non-coding RNA, 289 nt
Organism: Scomber japonicus (chub mackerel)
Lineage: Eukaryota; Metazoa; Chordata; Actinopteri; Scombriformes; Scombridae
Exons: 3
Source: RefSeq, a predicted model, not a curated record
GUGAAGGUGGUGCAGAAAAAAGCAGAACAAGCAGCUGAUGGAUUGUUGGCAGACCAGAAAGCCACCACCAAACAUCGCCACUAUCAGCUGAUGGCUUGCUGUUUGGGGAUUUUUUGUGUCAUUUUGCUGUUCGGCAUCAUAGCAGUCAGUGUCUACCUUUCUUUGUUUUAUCAUGAGAAUAAUGUAAAAGAGCUGGAGCAGUUAAAAGAAAACCAAACAACUCUUCUGGAGACCAAUCACAACCUGACAGACCGCAACAACACACUCAGUUCAGAAAAUGAAAGAUUGA